RNAcentral lists this ribosomal RNA (1064 nucleotides) under Acinetobacter sp. CIP 102143. RNAcentral's name for it is "bacterial SSU rRNA". It matches the Rfam family "Bacterial small subunit ribosomal RNA", at positions 464 to 1528 of the family's 1533-position model. Lineage: Bacteria; Pseudomonadati; Pseudomonadota; Gammaproteobacteria; Moraxellales; Moraxellaceae. The record is from RNAcentral.
GAUAGUGGACGUUACUCGCAGAAUAAGCACCGGCUAACUCUGUGCCAGCAGCCGCGGUAAUACAGAGGGUGCGAGCGUUAAUCGGAUUUACUGGGCGUAAAGCGUGCGUAGGCGGCUGAUUAAGUCGGAUGUGAAAUCCCUGAGCUUAACUUAGGAAUUGCAUUCGAUACUGGUCAGCUAGAGUAUGGGAGAGGAUGGUAGAAUUCCAGGUGUAGCGGUGAAAUGCGUAGAGAUCUGGAGGAAUACCGAUGGCGAAGGCAGCCAUCUGGCCUAAUACUGACGCUGAGGUACGAAAGCAUGGGGAGCAAACAGGAUUAGAUACCCUGGUAGUCCAUGCCGUAAACGAUGUCUACUAGCCGUUGGGGCCUUUGAGGCUUUAGUGGCGCAGCUAACGCGAUAAGUAGACCGCCUGGGGAGUACGGUCGCAAGACUAAAACUCAAAUGAAUUGACGGGGGCCCGCACAAGCGGUGGAGCAUGUGGUUUAAUUCGAUGCAACGCGAAGAACCUUACCUGGCCUUGACAUAGUAGAAACUUUCCAGAGAUGGAUUGGUGCCUUCGGGAAUCUACAUACAGGUGCUGCAUGGCUGUCGUCAGCUCGUGUCGUGAGAUGUUGGGUUAAGUCCCGCAACGAGCGCAACCCUUUUCCUUACUUGCCAGCAUUUCGGAUGGGAACUUUAAGGAUACUGCCAGUGACAAACUGGAGGAAGGCGGGGACGACGUCAAGUCAUCAUGGCCCUUACGGCCAGGGCUACACACGUGCUACAAUGGUCGGUACAAAGGGUUGCUACCUAGCGAUAGGAUGCUAAUCUCAAAAAGCCGAUCGUAGUCCGGAUUGGAGUCUGCAACUCGACUCCAUGAAGUCGGAAUCGCUAGUAAUCGCGGAUCAGAAUGCCGCGGUGAAUACGUUCCCGGGCCUUGUACACACCGCCCGUCACACCAUGGGAGUUUGUUGCACCAGAAGUAGGUAGUCUAACCUUAGGGGGGACGCUUACCACGGUGUGGCCGAUGACUGGGGUGAAGUCGUAACAAGGUAGCCGUAGGGGAACCUGCGGCUGGAUCACCU